UGGUUCUGGCAUNGAUGAAGAACGCAGCGAAAUGCGAUAAGUAAUGUGAAUUGCAGAAUUCAGUGAAUCAUCGAAUCUUUGAACGCACAUUGCGCCCUCUGGUAUUCCGGGGGGCACGCCUGUCCGAGCGUCAUCGAAUCAAUCAAGCCCCGCUUGGUAUUGGGCCUCCCCCGCGAGAGCGUGCCCGAAUGGCAGCGGCGCGGCCGCCGUGAGAAGAACGCAUUGGAAUUUUUUCGUUCUUGCCUCCCGGCGUUCGUUGCCACAGACCUUAAAACUCUGAAAAUUGACCUCGGAUCAGACGAGAUUACCCGCUGA
RNAcentral lists this unclassified non-coding RNA (315 nucleotides) under uncultured fungus. Its description in RNAcentral is "partial contains 5.8S ribosomal RNA and internal transcribed spacer 2". The stretch from base 1 to 133 matches the Rfam family "5.8S ribosomal RNA", at positions 22 to 154 of the family's 154-position model. The record is from RNAcentral. Lineage: Eukaryota; Fungi.